Molecule: long non-coding RNA, 2136 nt
Organism: Spinacia oleracea (spinach)
Lineage: Eukaryota; Viridiplantae; Streptophyta; Magnoliopsida; Caryophyllales; Amaranthaceae
Exons: 2
Source: RefSeq, a predicted model, not a curated record
CACUUCAUAAUUAAUUGUACUAAUUUUAAAAAUCAUGUUUAAGAUUAGAGAAUUUAAGAUCUCACCUUAAGCAUUAUUAUGCAAAGUACUUUAUGUAACAAAAGGGGAGUGGUGAUGCUAGCUAGGAGACGUACGUGGCAUGUGUUAAUGAGGUGGUCACAUGAUACUAAUGAUUUGUGCUAAUUAGCAUUUUUGAGCAUGCUAGGGUUAUGUUAUUGCUAAUUAAUUAGAGCUAAUCGAUCUAUUUUCAUGUGAUAUUAUAUAGAUCUCAUAUUAUCAUCUAAUUAAUAAGGGUAAAUAUCUUAUCCAAAGAAUUGCAAUUUGCCUUUAAAUAAAUUUUAGACUUUAUUUAAUGAAAAUCUUAUGCAGCAAAUUGCUAAUGCUCUCCAACAAAAAUAUGGUGUCACCAAUUAUUUUAGGUUACAAAUUAAAGUUACAAAAUGUGCUCAUCUCCCAAGUAGAUAAUGGGUACGUAUUAGUUUGUGGCUGUGAAUUUGUAGUUGUGAGUUGGAAGAAAAUUAUAAUGCAAGCUAGGUAUAUAAGCCUUUUUUUUUUAAUAUGAAUUUUAAUUUUUUGGCUAAAUGAUUAUUUUUAUAAAUCUCAUAUUAAGAAUAUGAAGAAAGUAUGGGUCAUAAUGACGACACUAAUUUCUUCACAUUAUUAAGAUGAGAUUCAUGAAAAUAAUAAAUUUAGCCAAAAAAUUAUGAUGGGCACGAUAAUUGGUACAUGUUGCAUCCUCACCCAUAUUCAAGCACACAAUUAUAUUUUAUAAAAGUUAAGCUAGGACACGUAUGCGUAGAAUACAAUUUAAACUAAUUUCGGUAAAGAUAAAAUUUGAUAAGAAGAUAUCUACCGGAAAAUAAAACGAAUGCACAUACAUCAUGAUGUACGAAGUACAAGUACUUUAUAGUUCACACAUCCCAGUAAUAGCAGUGUUUGUUCGUUUCAACUUAUUUCAACGUACUUUGACUCAUUUAAUCAAAAAUAAGUUCAGAUCACUUCAACAAAAUUAAGCUUUCAAACAAUUUAAUACGUUGUACUACAUAUAUAAACAAGGGUCUGUUCAUUUCAACUUAAUUUAUCUUAUUUCAAUAAAAAUCAAUUCAGAUUAAAUUAAGUCAAAUAUAGUUGAACCAAAUAACACCUAAAUUAAUUUCAGCAAAUUUUUUUAGAUAAAUCCAUAAAUUAAAAUCAGAUGAAACAAAAAAUAUGCAUUUUUUUGCCCAUUUACAAUUGGACAUGCAUAUUUCCCCUCAUUUUCAUUUUUGUAAUACGAGUAGGAAAUAUUUCAUUUGAAAUUAAAAGAAAAAAAAGAGGGUGAGGUUAAUUUUUUUUUUUUUUUACCAACCUUACUUUGGGGGUUGGUGAUUUUUUUUUGCCAAAAGUUAGCAUGGUAAAAACUUCCGAGAUUUGGCAGUUAUAAACAGGGGGCCCAAAAUAGGGUUCAUUUUUCGCAAAUCGCAGUGCCGCAAAAACACCCUCUUUUAGUAUUUUCUCUCUCCUCCCAAAUCCAUGGUCGACGAAACAGAGGAGUCAUAUUCCAGACCAAUAAGUGAAUAUAAGGUGAAGAGAACAGAACGGUGUCCGGUGUUUGAAGCAAGCCAUCUUAAGUGGAAGGUAAUGCAAAUCAGGAUCUCCCCUGGGCUUGACGGGGUGAUGCACAGGGAUGUCCAAAACUGACCCUGUCCAACUGAUUUCUGACAAAAAUCAAAGCGACUCGGAAAAAUAAUAAUUCACACAUUCAAUCCGCAUAAGCAAACCCCACACAACCACAUUAUCCGAUUAUACACGACCCGUAAUUGCCCGAUGACCCGAUUUGACAGCCCUCGGGUGGAGGAGGAUGCUGCUUAAGUGAAGAUAGCCGAAGAAGGAAACAGACUUGUUCAUCCUGAUCAAGCUACUGCCUUUUAUGAUUCUAUGCACACUUACCUUACAAAUUGGAAAUCUUAUGCAUUUUUUUCCCAAUAAACUAGAGAAUUUUUUACUCCAUAUUCAUCCAAGUGGUGAUAUCCAUGUUCUGUUUAUUAUCAAAGUUUAAUUUUCAGCAAAAUAAUUAAUGUUCAAUGUAAUUAGCUACAACAUGUUCCAAUGAUAUUUUUAAUCGAAUUCAUUAAUAAAGUUACCCAAAUUUCUCUA